GGGCCCGUAGUAAAGUGGUAUUACGCCUCCUUUGCAAGGAGGAGUCAGGAGUUCAAUUCUCCUCGGGUCCA
Molecule: transfer RNA, 71 nt
Filed under: Candidatus Liptonbacteria bacterium
Lineage: Bacteria; Candidatus Liptoniibacteriota
Description: tRNA-Ala
Rfam family: tRNA
About the family: Transfer RNA (tRNA) molecules are approximately 80 nucleotides in length. Their secondary structure includes four short double-helical elements and three loops (D, anti-codon, and T loops).
Source: RNAcentral